Molecule: long non-coding RNA, 880 nt
Filed under: Equus asinus (donkey)
Lineage: Eukaryota; Metazoa; Chordata; Mammalia; Perissodactyla; Equidae
Description: lncRNA (ENSEASG00005034202.1)
Source: RNAcentral
AUGGAGGCUACACAAGUAUAGGAGCCUGAAGAAAGUAGGGAGAUCACUAUUCCUGACUCAGAAAACAGGAGCCAUCACAGGACUUCUCCAUCAGUACCUUCUAACAGUUUGAUGGAUGUCAAAAGCUCCUUGGAUUGCCUCCCCUGAUUCCCACAUUGUGGAUUCCACUGUUAAAACAUCCUGUACACGGUCCGGAGCCGAAACACUGAGGUCCCUUUGGAGAUUCCAGCUUUGAAUGGAAAAUGAGCAUCUCUGCGACUUAAAACCACUUCACUGAGCAAUGCAUCUCUGUCCCUGAGAUUUAGUAUGACCUCCCAGAAAGUUCCCUGUUGAUCCUGCUUUUGUGAAUGUUAUUUUCAGCCAAAGCUACAGAGACGCAUUGGGUGCCAGUGACAGAAUAUUCGGAUCAUUUUUGGCUAAGAACACCAUCCACUGGAGUAUUAUAGUAACACUGUCACAGAAGCACCGAUUGAUUUCAAAGAGAACGCUGCAGAGAUCGUCUGCCAUGUGAAGAGAAUUACAAUUGGACCCAAAGGUUUGACCUCCAGCCUGCUUCUGUGUAAGAAUCAAUCAGUAACCAAUUUAGGUGAACUGGAUUUUCCAUCUUGUGGGCCCUGGUUCCUGGUUUCUUUUGCAACCAGAGUCUUGAAUCUGAGCAACUGUUCACUCUGGCCUCUGACCAGGAUCAGCAGAACUUAAGUCUACUCCAGCAGAAUGAGUGACCUAGGGACUUCUACGAAAAAAGGAUGUCAUAAAAAACUUUGUGAAAAAUGAAAUUUCUCUGCUUCUACUCUUAAAGUCUGUUCAUUUUGGAAACUAGGAAUUUUCUAGUAAAAAGAAAUUAAUGAAUAAAAUCAGCAAUUUCUAAUCUAUAUUUGUA